This 120-nucleotide non-coding RNA is filed under the name Palpitomonas bilix. The record is from RNAcentral.
AUCUGUCUGUACCUCGCCGCGUUCCCUUUUUCCGCUUCACUUUGUUGCGAUUGUUUUCCUUUUUUUCACUUUGCAUACUUGUGUAGAUGUAAUAGAGAGAGAACAAGGAGGGAGACGAGG